UGGGGAAUAUUGCGCAAUGGGGGCAACCCUGACGCAGCAACGCCGCGUGAUUGAAGAAGGCCUUCGGGUUGUAAAGAUCUUUAAUUGGGGACGAAAGAAAUGACGGUACCCAAAGAAUAAGCUCCGGCUAACUACGUGCCAGCAGCCGCGGUAAUACGUAGGGAGCAAGCGUUAUCCGGAUUUACUGGGUGUAAAGGGCGAGUAGGCGGGCUGGCAAGUUGGGAGUGAAAUCCCGGGGCUUAACCCCGGAACUGCUUUCAAAACUGCUGGUCUUGAGUGAUGGAGAGGCAGGCGGAAUUCCGUGUGUAGCGGUGAAAUGCGUAGAUAUACGGAGGAACACCAGUGGCGAAGGCGGUCUGCUGGACAUUAACUGACGCUGAGGAGCGAAAGCGUGGGGAGCAAACAGG
Molecule: ribosomal RNA, 407 nt
Filed under: uncultured bacterium
Lineage: Bacteria
Description: bacterial SSU rRNA
Rfam family: Bacterial small subunit ribosomal RNA
Source: RNAcentral